UAUUUUGACUAUACAAAGGUAUUGUAAUAAGAUUUUAAUUGAAUGCUAAAAGAAUGGAAAUUUAAAAAAAAACUUUUUUAAAAAUAAAAAUUGAAUUUUUUUUAAUUUGUGCAAAAACAAUUAUUAUUAUUAAAGACAAGAAGACCCUAAGAAUUUAUGAUUUUGUAAUUAAAAGUUUUUUUUAAAAAAUCUUGAUUGGGGCGAUCAAAAAAUAUUAAUAACUUUUUAAAUUUAAAUUGAUCUAUUAUUAAUAAACUAAUGAAUUAAAUA
This 270-nucleotide ribosomal RNA is filed under the name Hyalomma excavatum. RNAcentral describes it as "partial large subunit ribosomal RNA". Lineage: Eukaryota; Metazoa; Arthropoda; Arachnida; Ixodida; Ixodidae. The record is from RNAcentral.